Molecule: ribosomal RNA, 438 nt
Filed under: uncultured bacterium
Lineage: Bacteria
Description: bacterial SSU rRNA
Rfam family: Bacterial small subunit ribosomal RNA
Source: RNAcentral
CAGUCGAGAAUCUUUCACAAUGGGCGAAAGCCUGAUCCAGCCAUGCCGCGUGUGUGAAGAAGGUCUUCGGAUUGUAAAGCACUUUAAGUUGGGAGGAAGGGCAGUAAGCGAAUACCUUGCUGUUUUGACGUUACCGACAGAAUAAGCACCGGCUAACUCUGUGCCAGCAGCCGCGGUAAUACAGAGGGUGCAAGCGUUAAUCGGAAUUACUGGGCGUAAAGCGCGCGUAGGUGGUUCGUUAAGUUGAAUGUGAAAGCCCCGGGCUCAACCUGGGAACUGCAUCCAAAACUGGCGAGCUAGAGUAGGGCAGAGGGUGGUGGAAUUUCCUGUGUAGCGGUGAAAUGCGUAGAUAUAGGAAGGAACACCAGUGGCGAAGGCGACCACCUGGGCUCAUACUGACACUGAGGUGCGAAAGCGUGGGGAGCGAACAGGAUUAGA